UAAGCGGAGGAAAAGAAACUAACAAGGAUUCCCCUAGUAACGGCGAGUGAAGCGGGAUGAGCUCAAAUUUAAAAUCUGGCGGCCUCAGGUCGUCCGAGUUGUAGUCUAGAGAAUCGUUUUCCGCGUUGGCCUGUGUACAAGUCCCUUGGAACAGGGCGUCAUAGAGGGUGAGAAUCCCGUCCUUGACACAGAUUACCAAUGCUUUGUGAUGCGAUCUCGAAGAGUCGAGUUGUUUGGGAAUGCAGCUCAAAAUGGGUGGUAAAUUCCAUCUAAAGCUAAAUAUUGGCGAGAGACCGAUAGCGAACAAGUACCGUGAGGGAAAGAUGAAAAGCACUUUGGAAAGAGAGUUAAACAGUACGUGAAAUUGUUAAAAGGGAAACGAUUGAAGUCAGUCAUGCUUUCCGAGACUCAGCCGAUUCUGUCGGUGUACUUCUCGGUUGGCAGGCCAGCAUCAGUUUCGAUCUGUGGAAAAGGUUGGAGGGAACGUGGCAUCCUCGGAUGUGUUAUAGCCCUUCUUCGAAUACAUAGAGCGGGACUGAGGAACGCAGCGCGCCUUUUAUUAGGUUGGCCCUCGGGUACAUACGCGCUUAGGAUGCUGGCAUAA
This 604-nucleotide ribosomal RNA is filed under the name Mrakia gelida. RNAcentral describes it as "partial large subunit ribosomal RNA". It matches the Rfam family "Eukaryotic large subunit ribosomal RNA", at positions 47 to 634 of the family's 3401-position model. The record is from RNAcentral. Lineage: Eukaryota; Fungi; Basidiomycota; Tremellomycetes; Cystofilobasidiales; Mrakiaceae.